Oncorhynchus tshawytscha (Chinook salmon) is the source of this 3593-nucleotide long non-coding RNA. The record is from Ensembl. NCBI's taxonomy places the organism in Eukaryota, Metazoa, Chordata, Actinopteri, Salmoniformes, Salmonidae.
UCAGUGUUCAUCAGCAGUUUGAAUAAGGAUGAAUUUUUGAAAAGCUUAUGAUAAGUAACACUGGCCCUCACUCUUCUUUUAAUAUGAACCAUCUGCGUGAUAACACUGACAUGUUUAUUGGACAGACAAGUUAUACAUGGCUGCUUAUUGUACUUGAAGCAGUGAGACAGCAUGCAGGUUUCACAAUCUCGUUAAUGAUCCUCUAAAUGUUUCCUCUGAGUGGCUAGCAGGAAAUGCAGUAUUUUACUAUUUCACUUGUUACUGUGAGCAGACUUCCCGGCUUUCACUGAGAAUGACCGUUAAAAGCAAUAAUUGUAAAACAAUAACAGUACACAGUAAGUGCUGCUGUAUCUAUCCUUGGCUACUGAUUUACCUAGAUUAUUGACUAGCAUAGAUGUUGCUUACCAGAAAUGUCAUGUUUAUAUUUUAGGCCUACUGAAAAUCCCUCAACUUAGUAUACUAGGUCUGCCGAGUGACGCAGCGGUCUAAGGCACUGCAUCUCAGUGCCUGACUUGCCAAGUUAAAUAAAGGUUAAAUAAAAUACAUUUAAAAAAUGAAAGGUCAGGGGUACACCAACGCUAUUUGUGAAGGUUCGGUCACACAAGUUUAAAGGUGGCAAAGAUCCAGAUGGAUAUUAUUAUUUAUUGGAGUGACACAAACAUUACAACAAAAUCAAAACCCAGAAAACAACCGGGAAUAACUAUUGGAUAUCAGACAGACGUCAACUUACCAGCACAACCAGCACCACAACCAGGAAUACGACUUUCCCAAAGCGGAUCCUUUGUCUGCACCUCCCAGGGCACUUGAACUGAUUCCAAAGGCCGACCCAAAACAAAGCCGCCGGAGGAGAGGAUGCCGGAGCGGAUGUCAAGUGAGGCUUCGGAUGCACGCACACCACCCACCUCUUCCGAGUAUAUUACUUGCUAAUGUCCAGUCCCUAGAUAAAAAAAAGUUUACGAGAUUUGGGCAAGGGUUGCUUUCCAGAGAGACAUCAGGGAUUGUAAUAUACUGUUUCACGGAAACAUGGCUCUAUUGGGAUAUACUGUCGGAGUCAGUAUGUUAUUUGAAUGGACAAAAAUGUGCUUUUCUUUCAAAAACAAGGACAUUUCUAAGUGACCCCAAACGUUUGAACGGUAGUGUAUAUAUUCUUAUCCCUUUCCUUUACAAGAGUGUGUUUAUUAGGUGUUGUUGUGGAAUUUGUUAGAUAUUAGGUUUUGUUGUGGAAUUGUUAGAUAUUACCUGUUAGAUACUGCUGCACUGUCAGAUCUAGAAGCAUAAGCAUUUCGCUACACUCAAAAUAACAUCUGCUAACCAUGUGUAUGUGACCAAUAAAAUUGGAUUUGAUUUGAACCAAAAAGGAGAACCAAAACUUGAUUUAUUAACUUGACUCCCUCCAGGAUUUCCAGACUUUCAUAAUUAUCCACAACACAAUUUAUGAUACACAGCAUCAAUGCCAGUAAGUAUGCUCACAUGAAAGUCCAUUGGCCUGCUUUGGAUGGGGGUGUGUCCUGGUUUAUCAGUGUUGCCUUCUGUUGGUUAGUGUAGACAACUGUAUAGCUUAGUUUGCCAGGCUUACAGUAUGUAGAAGACGGCUAGGAGCAAUACUUAGUGCAAUAAUAAUAACUACAUUAACAAGGAGUGAAAGAGUAUUUGAUGUGUUCUAUGCUGUCAGCAAUGCCACAAGCAAUACUCAAUUCAACGUAUUUUUGGACAACCGUGGAGACUAAGGCCUACAUUCAAUCUGUAAAAGGCUGCUGUGGUCAGAGGUCCUAAAUUCCUGAGAAGACCUCAUGGACACACAGUUAUAGAGAGUCGUUUUUCAUGGAGGCAAAGGAAAUCCUUCCACCUCACAGAACUUGAGAUACGAACCAAUUUCAUGUUCCGGAGAAAGUGUAAAAGAUCGGUGAAGAAUCAAGCUACGAACUGGUCCGUUUGUCACAACUUGGGAAGCUCAUGGGAGACGGUGUGACCACAUUACCAUAACGCUGUUUAUAUAAUAGCCACAGAGAUAAGGUUUACAUCUAAUUGUAGUAUUAGAUGAAUGAGUGAGUAUGAUACUGUUUACACAAUUUUACAAUAUGAUUUUGGACUGUUUAAUGAAGGAAAACUCAAAAAAGGGAAUUGGAUUUGAACUAAAUCAGAGGACCGCCCCUGAGGCCAGUUAAGGUCAGACAUCCUGGGACUGCCCUUUUCUGCCAUUCCGAAUAAAACCCAACUUUGAGAAAUCAUCACCAGACCAUGUUUUUCUCCAUUAGGAGGGGGACAAAGGUUGCAGACCAUUGCUGAAUCUUUUAACCAUACUACGUGGUUAAACUCUUAGACUAUCGAUACCAACAGAAUGAGAACAAGUCUUUGAUAUUAAUUACUAGUCUGCAGCUAGGAAUUUGGUAUCAUUGAACGCGAAGAACGACAACCGCCGAAACAACCAUUCUGUAACGAAUGUCACUUUGAACUAUCCCCUCUAACCAAGACAGAGAGAGGGAGAGAGACGGACAAUUCUACGAAAGACACAAACUUUUCACCAGCGAUCAAGACGAAACACUGAGCGUAAAUAUAUACAUUGAUUGCAAUUGUUCCCGAAUGAGUGAGCGUUCAUGUGUAAAGGAUUAGCAUUUUAAUUGUUAUAAUUAUCACUCUGUCGUGACUUCUUAGUUGACCCCCACUUUCCCUUUUGUCUAACAAGCCGCCAUGCCGGUUCAGCCCACUAGGGCACAUUUUCCUAUCAUUUCAUGUAACCACAUUUACCAUGUUUGUUUGUUUAUGCAUUUCUGUGAAUUACUUAAUUAGUAAUAAAUAAAUUAUUUAAGACAAUUGAUGUAUGGAUAACUCAUAGUGAAGACUGGGUUCGUGCAGAUAACCAACAAUUUUGAAACGUUUGAAAUGAGACUAACAUGAGGUAAAAUAAAGAAAUCAUUAAUCAGAAGACUAUUGAUCAGAUAUAAAAAUAUCUGAAAGGUUAUAUUGGGAAAUUAUAACUUUGUAAUCUGAAUACUUUCCUUGGUGCCCCGACUUCCUAGUUACAUGAUUAUUCAGUUUAAUCGUGUAAUACUAAUUACAGGAAUCUUUGAUAAAAACUGAGUCUUCGAUUUGAUGAAAGUAAAGACAUAACACUGUAUAUGAUAGAUAACUAUUUUAUUUUACUAUGUAUUCAGUGUUUGCUCACCUCUUCUAUUUAUCAAGGAGAUGUACUUUAUCUUUCUCUAAAGUGCAUAGUUGUUGGAAAAAAGUUUUGCCUUGUAUCAUGUAUGUUUGUUUGUGAAAACACAAUAAGAAGAGGCCAUUAUGUCACACCCUGAUCUGUUUCACCUGUCUUUGUGCUUGUCUCAACCCCCCUUCAGGUGUCACCCAUCUAACCCAUUAUCCCCUGUGUAUUUAUACCUGUGUUCUCUGUUUGUCUGUUGCCACUUCAUCUUGUCUCAUCAAGCCUACCAGCGGUUUUCCCCAUACUCCUGUUUUCUCUCUAGUCCCUGUUUUCUAGUUUUCCCGGUUUUGACCAUUCUGCCUGCUCUGACCAUGAGCCUGCCUGCCAUUCUGUACCUUUCGGACUAUGCUCUGGAUUACUGACCUGCCCUUGACAUGUCGUUUGCCUGCCC